Long non-coding RNA from Actinia tenebrosa (Australian red waratah sea anemone), 317 nucleotides. The record is from RefSeq and is a predicted model, not a curated record. Lineage: Eukaryota; Metazoa; Cnidaria; Anthozoa; Actiniaria; Actiniidae.
UUGAUGUAGUAUUGUAAUAUCUUUCAGCAAACCACAAGAACCAGAAGAACCAUCCAAUGGAGUUGAGCCCUUACCCAAGAAGUUUAUUCGUUGUUCAACUCAUGUCACAAUAGGAUUAUUACAGAGAUUUAUUGCCACAAAAUUAAACCUGGAAUCAGAAAGUAUGAUAGGAAUAUCACACAAUGAAACAGAGAUGGACAAGGAUUUCACCUUGAAAUACAUCAGCGAUAACUUACUAGAGGAAAAGGUAAGCACACUGCUGAUCUCACUAACUAACAGAUUGAAUUGGAAUUUAGCUUGUUAGAUUUUGAGGAAGA